UGACCGCUGGCGGCGUGCCUACUACAUGCACGUCGAGCGAACAGACGAGGAGCUUGCUCCUCUGACGUUAGCGGCGGACGGGUGAGUAACACGUGGAUAACCUACCUAUAAGACUGAGAUAACUUCGGGAAACCGGAGCUAAUACCGGAUAAUAUAUUGAACCGCAUGGUUCAAUAGUGAAAGACGGUUUUGCUGUCACUUAUAGAUGGAUCCGCGCCGCAUUAGCUAGUUGGUAAGGUAACGGCUUACCAAGGCGACGAUGCGUAGCCGACCUGAGAGGGUGAUCGGCCACACUGGAACUGAGACACGGUCCAGACUCCUACGGGAGGCAGCAGUAGGGAAUCUUCCGCAAUGGGCGAAAGCCUGACGGAGCAACGCCGCGUGAGUGAUGAAGGUCUUCGGAUCGUAAAACUCUGUUAUUAGGGAAGAACAAAUGUGUAAGUAACUAUGCACGUCUUGACGGUACCUAAUCAGAAAGCCACGGCUAACUACGUG
RNAcentral lists this ribosomal RNA (495 nucleotides) under uncultured bacterium. RNAcentral's name for it is "partial 16S ribosomal RNA". It matches the Rfam family "Bacterial small subunit ribosomal RNA", at positions 30 to 507 of the family's 1533-position model. The record is from RNAcentral.